Molecule: long non-coding RNA, 1490 nt
Organism: Corvus hawaiiensis (hawaiian crow)
Lineage: Eukaryota; Metazoa; Chordata; Aves; Passeriformes; Corvidae
Exons: 3
Source: RefSeq, a predicted model, not a curated record
AGCUGACAAAAGGCAGAGCGAGGAUGGAGCUGGUUGCAGUUCCCUCUGUUCCGGUGGGUGAAACUGAUAAGGAAUGGAUGAGGCUCAACUGUCAGGAGCAUGCAACACCGACAAGGUUUAUGUAGCUGUAACAACAGCGUUUCCAAAGACCAGGUGAUGAUGCCAAUGGCGUUUUGGGGGCAUUUUGAAUGUCCUAACCACAAUUUCUAAGCAGACAGGAGUGACCAGGGGUCAUUGGAUGCUGAGCACCCUGGUUGUUGUCUCAGCCAACACGUGGGAUUUGGAACGGCAAUGAAGAUGAGCCAGACCAGGAUGGAGGAACCUUGAUUCUGAGCGAAGGUGCUUCCUUUCUGAUGCUGCUUUUGCUGCUCUGCAGCCCAGCUGGAACUGGAAAAUGGUACAAGCCGUAGCAGAAAAUGUCAUCUCUAUGGAAACUUCCAAACCCAAUGGAGGAUGAUGGGAUCAAGUUUACAGAAUGAUCAAUAUUUUAUUCUGAGCUCAUUUCUAAGUGAGGCAGGAUAAACUCCUGAUUGGACAAGUGGUGCAAAAUUCCAGAUAGAGGUGGAAACUCCUGAAGUGGACUGAAUUGAGGGGUGGAGUGUCUGGGGCUGAAUCCUCAUGCGAAAGAGGGACUGGGACAAAGAAAAAUUGCACUGCGAUAUUUACCAUGGAAUGGUAUCUGGCAGGAGGAAGAAGGAACAUCAUCACCUCUGGACAGGUUUGAAAAGUUCAUGGGGGUAAAAGAACUGCUUAUUUUCUCUGUUGGCUUGAGUGUGUAAACAACAUAGGAUUGUGUUUUUCCCCUCUCUCCAGUCACUUCAUCUGUAUUCCCUUAUCCUCACCUCUGUUUUUUUAUCACUUGUCUCCUAUUUAUAUAUUGUUCCCCAGUCCUGAGGUCUGUCACUCUUGGGAAGACUUUUAAUUUUUUUCCCAGACAUGCCUGGACUUAUCGUCCUACCUGGAACCCACUAUGAUCCAUGACCAACAGAUGGGCUUCUUGACAUUCUUAUUUAGUUCUAACCUGCAAUCCAAUUUUCUCUUAUUUAUCUGUAUCUAUCUCAAAUCUAUUUGGUUCUGCAGUCUAGUCCUAUUUCCAUCCUUUUCUCUACACUCUGUGGAAGUGUUUGCUUUCAGAACUGGGCCAGCUCCGCUGCUCUGCUGGAAACCUGGUCCUUGGUCAGAGGGAACAAGAGCAGGAAGAUGAUGAUCAAUCUUCCCCCUCAGCCGGUGGUAAUAACCUUGUGAUUUAGGAACAUCCAUGACACUAUUCCAAUUAUUACACUUAAUAGACACUGAUAAAAUGAUGCUCUUGGAUUUUUUGGAACAUUUUCUGAAAUUCUUUAGAAUUUGUAAUUAUUUAUAAAUAAUGUUUAGCCUGCAGUGAUGCCUUCUACAUCUUUAGUGCUGUGCAUGAUGUGAAAACACACUUUGUUAAAGCUGUGGCACAUCCACGGCUUCCAUUGGCAGUGGCUGAUUUGUCACUGCGAGGA